AAAAGAAACUAACAAGGAUUCCCCUAGUAACGGCGAGUGAACCGGGAAGAGCUCAAAUUUGAAAUCUGGCGUCCUCAGGGCGUCCGAGUUGUAAUCUAUAGAGGCGUUUUCCGUGCCGGACCGUGUCCAAGUUCCUUGGAACAGGAUAUCAAAGAGGGUGACAAUCCCGUACUUGACACGACGACCGGUGCUCUGUGAUACGUCUUCUACGAGUCGAGUUGUUUGGGAAUGCAGCUCAAAAUGGGUGGUGAGUUCCAUCUAAAGCUAAAUAUUGGCGAGAGACCGAUAGCGAACAAGUACCGUGAGGGAAAGAUGAAAAGCACUUUGGAAAGAGAGUUAAACAGUACGUGAAAUUGUUGAAAGGGAAACGAUUGAAGUCAGUCGUGACCGAGAGGCUCAGCCGGUUCUGCCGGUGUAUUCCCCUCGGUCGGGUCAACAUCAGUUUUGUCCGGUGGAUAAGGGCGGUAGGAAGGUGGCACCCUCGGGUGUGUUAUAGCCUGCCGUCGCAUACAUCGGGUGAGACUGAGGAACGCAGCUCGCCUUUAUGGCCGGGGUUCGCCCACGUCCGAGCUUAGGAUGUUGACAUAAUGGCUUUAAACGACCCGUCUUGAA
RNAcentral lists this ribosomal RNA (612 nucleotides) under Papiliotrema laurentii. RNAcentral's name for it is "eukaryotic LSU rRNA". It matches the Rfam family "Eukaryotic large subunit ribosomal RNA", at positions 57 to 658 of the family's 3401-position model. Lineage: Eukaryota; Fungi; Basidiomycota; Tremellomycetes; Tremellales; Rhynchogastremaceae. The record is from RNAcentral.